CCUAAGGUAGCGAAAUUCCUUGUCGGGUAAGUUCCGACCUGCACGAAUGGCGUAAUGAUGGCCACGCUGUCUCCACCCAAGACUCAGUGAAAUUGAAAUCGCUGUUAAGAUGCAGUGUACCCGCGGCUAGACGGAAAGACCCCGUGAACCUUUACUAUAGCUUCACACUGGACUUUGACCUUACUUGUGUAGGAUAGGUGGGAGACUUUGAAGCGUGAUCGCUAGAUUGCGUGGAGUCAUCCUUGAAAUACCACCCUGGUAAUGUUGAGGUUCUAACUUGGCUCCUGAAACGGGAGUGAGGACAGUGUGUGGUGGGUAGUUUGACUGGGGCGGUCUCCUCCUAAAGAGUAACGGAGGAGCACGAAGGUACCCUAAGAGCGGUCGGAAAUCGCUCGUUUAGUGUAAUGGCAUAAGGGUGCUUGACUGCGAGAGUGACAACUCGAGCAGGUGCGAAAGCAGGUCAUAGUGAUCCGGUGGUUCUGAAUGGAAGGGCCAUCGCUCAACGGAUAAAAGGUACUCCGGGGAUAACAGGCUGAUACCGCCCAAGAGUUCACAUCGACGGCGGUGUUUGGCACCUCGAUGUCGGCUCAUCACAUCCUGGGGCUGAAGCCGGUCCCAAGGGUAUGGCUGUUCGCCAUUUAAAGUGGUACGCGAGCUGGGUUUAGAACGUCGUGAGACAGUUCGGUCCCUAUCUGCCGUGGGCGCAGGAGAUUUGAGAAGAGUUGCUCCUAGUACGAGAGGACCGGAGUGAACGAACCUCUGGUGUUCGGGUUGUGUCGCCAGACGCAUUGCCCGGUAGCUACGUUCGGACAGGAUAACCGCUGAAAGCAUCUAAGCGGGAAGCCCCCUUCAAGACGAGAUCUCCCUGAGGACUUGAUCCUCCUAAAGUGCCGUUGAAGACGACGACGUUGAUAGGCUGGGUGUGUAAGUACAGUGAUGUAUUGAGCUAACCAGUACUAAUUGCACGUGAGGCUUGACCAU
RNAcentral lists this ribosomal RNA (981 nucleotides) under seawater metagenome. RNAcentral's name for it is "bacterial LSU rRNA". It matches the Rfam family "Bacterial large subunit ribosomal RNA", at positions 1950 to 2925 of the family's 2925-position model. The record is from RNAcentral.